CGGGCAAGUUGUUUUUGGCUAC
RNAcentral lists this microRNA (22 nucleotides) under Glycine max (soybean). RNAcentral's name for it is "gma-miR169l-3p". Its record names the gene gma-miR169l-3p. The record is from miRBase by way of RNAcentral. Lineage: Eukaryota; Viridiplantae; Streptophyta; Magnoliopsida; Fabales; Fabaceae.